Molecule: ribosomal RNA, 1205 nt
Filed under: uncultured soil eukaryote
Lineage: Eukaryota
Description: SSU rRNA
Rfam family: Eukaryotic small subunit ribosomal RNA
Source: RNAcentral
UCCUGCCAGUUGUCAUAUGCUUGUUUCAAGGACUAAGCCAUGCAAAUGUCAGAGUACUCGUGUCUUGAUACGAGGGGUCUGUGUACGGCUCAUUAAACGGUUUAUAGUCUCCCCAACAAAGAGGGCAGUCAUGCCUUCCCAUGGGAUAUCUUUGCGAAACGCAAAGCUAAUACCUGUAAGAAAAAUCGCUUGCUAUCAAACACCAAGGGGCAACCUGGAAGUGUGGCGGGCGAUGUGUUUGGCCGAAACAAAAAUAGAUGCUCGAACAGAGCAGCUGUAAUUGUUGACGCAGGCCAAAGUCGCGAAAGCACAAUUCUGUGCGACGUUGGACGAAUUUACCACCUAUCAGGUAUUGAAGGUAGUGUAGUGGACUACCUUGCCUCUGACGGGUAACGGGGGAUUGGGGUUCGAUUCCGGAGAGGGUGCCUGAGAGACGGCAACCAUGACUAUGGUCAGCAGCAGGCGCGCAAAUUGCCCAAUGCCAACAAAUGGCGAGGCAGCGACGAAAAAUAGCAUUCCCUUAGGGGAUUUGCAAUGGACUGUACCCAAACAAACUGAUGAUUAUCUAUUGGAGGGCAAGUCUGGUGCCAGCAGCCGCGGUAAUUCCAGCUCCAAGAGCGUAUAUAAAUGUUGUUGCGGUUAAAAAGCCCGUAGUUGGAUUUGAGGAUGCUUCUUGUAUUCGACAUGUUGAAGGGGUUUCCUGGAUAUGUGUCGAGUACGCUUCGGAGGUAUCCUGACAUAUGCGGGAUUGUCCACUGGCCGAAGCUUCCUUAACUGGUAGCUGUCGCCGGGAUCAAUAGGAGCACAGGGGGUCAUGAGUACUGGAGGGCUAGAGGUGAAAUUCCAAGACCCCUCCAAGACUGACAUCGGCGAAAGCACUCGACUAUUGUGCUUUCAUUAAUCAAGGACGAGAGAUAGGGGAUCGAAGAGGAUUAGACACCCUCGUAGUCCUUUCUGUAAAUUCUGCAGACUUGGGAUCGGUCAGCGUUCUACUUUUUGACCUGAUCGGCACCUUCCUCCGACAUCGAGAAAUCAAAGUCUUUGUGUUCCGGGGGGAGUACAUUCGCAAGGCUGAAACUUAAAGGAAUUGACGGAGAACCACCACCAGUCGUGGAGUGUGUGGCUUAAUUCGACUCAACACGGGAAAUUUUACCAGGCCAGGACGUGGCGAGGAUUGCCAGAUUGAAAGCUCUUGCAUGAUUCCG